GCCCAGGUGGCGGAAUUGGUAGACGCGCUGGCUUCAGGUGUCAGUGACCUUAAGGUCGUGGAAGUUCGAGUCUUCUCCUGGGC
Molecule: transfer RNA, 83 nt
Filed under: Rhodospirillales bacterium
Lineage: Bacteria; Pseudomonadati; Pseudomonadota; Alphaproteobacteria; Rhodospirillales
Description: tRNA-Leu
Rfam family: tRNA
About the family: Transfer RNA (tRNA) molecules are approximately 80 nucleotides in length.
Source: RNAcentral